RNAcentral lists this long non-coding RNA (477 nucleotides) under Ananas comosus (pineapple). Its description in RNAcentral is "long non-coding RNA (ACOM_LNC005709)". The record is from RNAcentral. Lineage: Eukaryota; Viridiplantae; Streptophyta; Magnoliopsida; Poales; Bromeliaceae.
ACUAAACAUAGGCUAUAAUGAACCAAAUCAUACCCAAAUCUUAUAAAUCAUACACCAAAUCUCAUGAACCAUAUUCAAAUCUCAUAAACCAAAUCUUAUGAGCCAUACCUAAAUCUCAUGACUCAUAUCCAGAUCUCAUAAGUCAUACACCAAGUUAAUGAACAAAAUCAUUCUCAAAUGUCGUGAACCAUAUACUAAGUUCAUGAACCAAAUCAUACUCAAAUCUUAUAAACCAUACACCAAGUUUAUGAAUCAAAUCAUACUCAACUCUUAUAAACCAUACACCAAGUUCAUAUGACAUUCUAUCGUGAGCCCAACUCUACCAUGAGCCAAGUUCAUAAACUGAACCCAACUCUACCAUGGGCCAAGUUCAUAAACUGAACCCAAUUUCAUCAUGAAUCUCAAUCUUUCGCUCUAGCACAUAUACCUAAAGUAAAAGUCAAAUGCAAAAUCGACUAACCCUAAUAUAUGUACUUA